Molecule: ribosomal RNA, 1639 nt
Filed under: Salmonella enterica
Lineage: Bacteria; Pseudomonadati; Pseudomonadota; Gammaproteobacteria; Enterobacterales; Enterobacteriaceae
Description: partial 23S ribosomal RNA
Rfam family: Bacterial large subunit ribosomal RNA
Source: RNAcentral
CUAAACCAUGCACCGAAGCUGCGGCAGCGACACUGUGUGUUGUUGGGUAGGGGAGCGUUCUGUAAGCCUGCGAAGGUGGCCUGUGAGGGUUGCUGGAGGUAUCAGAAGUGCGAAUGCUGACAUAAGUAACGAUAAAGCGGGUGAAAAGCCCGCUCGCCGGAAGACCAAGGGUUCCUGUCCAACGUUAAUCGGGGCAGGGUGAGUCGACCCCUAAGGCGAGGCCGAAAGGCGUAGUCGAUGGGAAACGGGUUAAUAUUCCCGUACUUGGUGUUACUGCGAAGGGGGGACGGAGAAGGCUAUGUUGGCCGGGCGACGGUUGUCCCGGUUUAAGCGUGUAGGUGUGUGUUCCAGGUAAAUCCGGUUCACUUUAACACUGAGGCGUGACGACGAGGCACUACGGUGCUGAAGCAACAAAUGCCCUGCUUCCAGGAAAAGCCUCUAAGCAUCAGGUAACAUCAAAUCGUACCCCAAACCGACACAGGUGGUCAGGUAGAGAAUACCAAGGCGCUUGAGAGAACUCGGGUGAAGGAACUAGGCAAAAUGGUGCCGUAACUUCGGGAGAAGGCACGCUGACACGUAGGUGAAGUGAUUUACUCAUGGAGCUGAAGUCAGUCGAAGAUACCAGCUGGCUGCAACUGUUUAUUAAAAACACAGCACUGUGCAAACACGAAAGUGGACGUAUACGGUGUGACGCCUGCCCGGUGCCGGAAGGUUAAUUGAUGGGGUCAGCGCAAGCGAAGCUCCUGAUCGAAGCCCCGGUAAACGGCGGCCGUAACUAUAACGGUCCUAAGGUAGCGAAAUUCCUUGUCGGGUAAGUUCCGACCUGCACGAAUGGCGUAAUGAUGGCCAGGCUGUCUCCACCCGAGACUCAGUGAAAUUGAACUCGCUGUGAAGAUGCAGUGUACCCGCGGCAAGACGGAAAGACCCCGUGAACCUUUACUAUAGCUUGACACUGAACAUUGAGCCUUGAUGUGUAGGAUAGGUGGGAGGCUUUGAAGUGUGGACGCCAGUCUGCAUGGAGCCGACCUUGAAAUACCACCCUUUAAUGUUUGAUGUUCUAACGUGGACCCGUUACCCGGGUUGCGGACAGUGUCUGGUGGGUAGUUUGACUGGGGCGGUCUCCUCCUAAAGAGUAACGGAGGAGCACGAAGGUUGGCUAAUCCUGGUCGGACAUCAGGAGGUUAGUGCAAUGGCAUAAGCCAGCUUGACUGCGAGCGUGACGGCGCGAGCAGGUGCGAAAGCAGGUCAUAGUGAUCCGGUGGUUCUGAAUGGAAGGGCCAUCGCUCAACGGAUAAAAGGUACUCCGGGGAUAACAGGCUGAUACCGCCCAAGAGUUCAUAUCGACGGCGGUGUUUGGCACCUCGAUGUCGGCUCAUCACAUCCUGGGGCUGAAGUAGGUCCCAAGGGUAUGGCUGUUCGCCAUUUAAAGUGGUACGCGAGCUGGGUUUAGAACGUCGUGAGACAGUUCGGUCCCUAUCUGCCGUGGGCGCUGGAGAACUGAGGGGGGCUGCUCCUAGUACGAGAGGACCGGAGUGGACGCAUCACUGGUGUUCGGGUUGUCAUGCCAAUGGCACUGCCCGGUAGCUAAAUGCGGAAGAGAUAAGUGCUGAAAGCAUCUAAGCACGAAACUUGCCCCGAG